UAAAUGAAAGCCAAAGGGAGGCAUCUAAUUGUUAAUUAGGGAAUUGUAGUUUGCAUCUACUCAUUUAG
Molecule: transfer RNA, 68 nt
Filed under: Conus nobilis
Lineage: Eukaryota; Metazoa; Mollusca; Gastropoda; Neogastropoda; Conidae
Description: tRNA-Asn
Rfam family: tRNA
About the family: Transfer RNA (tRNA) molecules are approximately 80 nucleotides in length.
Source: RNAcentral